Molecule: ribosomal RNA, 465 nt
Filed under: uncultured bacterium
Lineage: Bacteria
Description: partial 16S ribosomal RNA
Rfam family: Bacterial small subunit ribosomal RNA
Source: RNAcentral
CCUACGGGUGGCAGCAGUGGGGAAUAUUGCGCAAUGGGCGAAAGCCUGACGCAGCGACGCCGCGUGAGGGAUGAAGGUCUUCGGAUCGUAAACCUCUGUCAGUAGGGAAGAACGGUCACUGUGCUAAUCAGCAGUGAAUUGACGGUACCUGCAAAGGAAGCACCGGCUAACUCCGUGCCAGCAGCCGCGGUAAUACGGAGGGUGCGAGCGUUAAUCGGAAUUACUGGGCGUAAAGCGCUCGUAGGCGGUAUGUCAAGUCAAGGGUGAAAUCCCCGCGCUCAACGUGGGAACUGCCUUUGAUACUGGCAAACUGGAGUGUGUGAGAGGAUGGUGGAAUGCCAGGUGUAGGGGUGAAAUGCGUAGAGAUCUGGAGGAACAUCAGUGGCGAAGGCGACUAUCUGGCACAUAACUGACGCUGAGGAGCGAAAGCGUGGGUAGCAAACAGGAUUAGAUACCCGAGUAGUC